AAACCAGGCCACAAGUUCUGCCCAGCCUUUCUCCGGGCUUCUAAGCAGCGUCUGGCCAUGGUUGCUGCUGCGAUCCAGCGGCGCCGGUGGCAAUGUGCAUGGCAGGCCGCUCAGCCGGUCUUAUGCGCUGAGUUGCUGCGCGCGGAUCGGCGGCUUUGCUGAGCUGUGCGCGGCAGCUUGAAAAUGUGCAGAGGAGCCUGGCUGUGGCUUGCUCAGCGCUGCAGGCCUUAACUUGCCGCUGCCUCAUAGCUUGGCUGCUGCGCGCUUGCGGCAGCUAAGAAUAAGGCGGCGGGCCAAGUGCUCAAGCAGG
RNAcentral lists this ribosomal RNA (310 nucleotides) under Planococcus citri (citrus mealybug). RNAcentral describes it as "eukaryotic LSU rRNA". Lineage: Eukaryota; Metazoa; Arthropoda; Insecta; Hemiptera; Pseudococcidae. The record is from RNAcentral.